Molecule: unclassified non-coding RNA, 474 nt
Filed under: Hevea brasiliensis (rubber tree)
Lineage: Eukaryota; Viridiplantae; Streptophyta; Magnoliopsida; Malpighiales; Euphorbiaceae
Source: RNAcentral
AACUUGAAUUUCCUCAAUUUCUCUAAUAACAAGCUCGCAGGCAAACUUGAAACCACUCCCAUAUCUUGCAAGAGUCUCUCAGUUUUAGACCUCUCAUAUAAUUUGCUAUCUGGGGAGAUACCACCCAGCUUUGUUGCAGACUCUCCACCGUCUCUCAAGCAUCUGGAUCUAUCCCACAAUAACUUCUCUGGUAACCUUUCCAGUCUUGAUUUUGGGCGCUGCAGCAACCUCAGUUUGUUCAGUUUGUCACAGAACAGGCUUUCCGGCACCGUCUUCCCAAUUAGUCUGAACAACUGUGAGGUUUUGGAGACCCUUGACCUCUCCCAUAAUGAGCUGCAACUCAAGAUACCUGGUGCUGCACUGGGAAGGUUCAAAAAAUUGAAGCAGCUGUCUCUAGCUGACAAUCUGUUCUUUGGUGAUAUUCCUCCUGAGUUGGGACAGGCCUGUGGAACUCUGCAGGAGCUGGAUCUAUCA